GGUAAAAUGGCUGAUUGUUUAGGCGGUGGAUUGUAGCCCCAUGCAGAGAGGUUUAAUUCCUCUUUUUACCA
Molecule: transfer RNA, 71 nt
Filed under: Priolepis latifascima
Lineage: Eukaryota; Metazoa; Chordata; Actinopteri; Gobiiformes; Gobiidae
Description: tRNA-Tyr
Rfam family: tRNA
About the family: Transfer RNA (tRNA) molecules are approximately 80 nucleotides in length. Their secondary structure includes four short double-helical elements and three loops (D, anti-codon, and T loops). Further hydrogen bonds mediate the characteristic L-shaped molecular structure. tRNAs have two regions of fundamental functional importance: the anti-codon, which is responsible for specific mRNA codon recognition, and the 3' end, to which the tRNAs corresponding amino acid is attached (by aminoacyl-tRNA synthetases). tRNAs cope with the degeneracy of the genetic code in two manners: having more than one tRNA (with a specific anti-codon) for a particular amino acid; and 'wobble' base-pairing, i.e. permitting non-standard base-pairing at the 3rd anti-codon position.
Source: RNAcentral